GACGAACGCUGGCGGCGUGCUUAACACAUGCAAGUCGAACGGAAAGGCCCUGCUUUUGUGGGGUGCUCGAGUGGCGAACGGGUGAGUAGCACGUGAGUAACCUGCCCUUGACUUUGGGGUAACUUCAGGAAACUGGGGCUAAUACCGGAUAGGAGCUCCUGCUGCAUGGUGGGGGUUGGAAAGUUUCGGCGGUUGGGGAUGGACUCGCGGCUUAUCAGCUUGUUGGUGGGGUAGUGGCUUACCAAGGCUUUGACGGGUAGCCGGCCUGAGAGGGUGACCGGCCACAUUGGGACUGAGAUACGGCCCAGACUCCUACGGGAGGCAGCAGUGGGGAAUAUUGCACAAUGGGCGGAAGCCUGAUGCAGCAACGCCGCGUGCGGGAUGACGGCCUUCGGGUUGUAAACCGCUUUCGCCUGUGACGAAGCGUGAGUGACGGUAAUGGGUAAAGAAGCACCGGCUAACUACGUG
Molecule: ribosomal RNA, 468 nt
Filed under: uncultured bacterium
Lineage: Bacteria
Description: partial 16S ribosomal RNA
Rfam family: Bacterial small subunit ribosomal RNA
Source: RNAcentral